Thunnus maccoyii (southern bluefin tuna) is the source of this 278-nucleotide long non-coding RNA. RefSeq lists it as uncharacterized. The transcript is spliced from 3 exons. The record is from RefSeq and is a predicted model, not a curated record. Lineage: Eukaryota; Metazoa; Chordata; Actinopteri; Scombriformes; Scombridae.
CAUAAGCAUAGCUGUCACUAUUUCAGUGUGUUUUCAGUUCAUGAAAGUUAAGGAGUCGGUUGUUCAGUUUUUUCGAGUGUGUAUGAGUUGCUUAUCGGCGAGGCUCCAGACCGCCACCACACCUUCAUCUGAACCUGCAACCAGCAGCUCCGCCUCCAGACUGACGUCCACACAGAGAACACCUGAAAACACAACAACAGGUGAUGGUGGCGACUCCACCCACCCAGCGCUCCUCCAGCAGGUCCUCCAGGUCCCGUCUUAGCCGAGCCCAGAGGAGG